CUCUUAUCAAGAGAGGCGGAGGGAAAAGGGCCCGAUGAAACCCGGCAACCAGUGACAGCACAAUGGUGCCAAUUCCUGCAGUAAAGUCUGCAAGAUAAGAG
RNAcentral lists this non-coding RNA (101 nucleotides) under Clostridium oryzae. RNAcentral describes it as "SAM-I sequence". It matches the Rfam family "SAM riboswitch aptamer (S box leader)". From Rfam's summary of the family: The SAM riboswitch is found upstream of a number of genes which code for proteins involved in methionine or cysteine biosynthesis in Gram-positive bacteria. Lineage: Bacteria; Bacillati; Bacillota; Clostridia; Eubacteriales; Clostridiaceae. The record is from Rfam by way of RNAcentral.